UGAAUUUAUUGGAAAACAAUUCGGAAUAAUCAAUCUGUUAAACAGUUUUAUAGGAUCUGUAACAAAAGCAGAAAAUGCUGGAGAGCUAGCAGAACCACUAGCAUCAAAGGAGGGAGAAACAGGGACUGGUUGCAAACUUCAAAGCAGCACCAUUUCCAGGCUGAAGUAAUAAUCUGAUAAUGGAGGAUCGGGAUUGCUCAUGCCUUCGUUCUCUAUGAUGGCUUCUACUUUCUUUGUGCUUCCGAGGAAAAUCCAAGCGCUCUCUGGACCUGCUUCUGGAUCUUGACAAACUUUUACUGUAGCUCCUGCUGUGUGAUCGCCUGCGUUUGUG
Molecule: long non-coding RNA, 331 nt
Organism: Pristis pectinata (smalltooth sawfish)
Lineage: Eukaryota; Metazoa; Chordata; Chondrichthyes; Rhinopristiformes; Pristidae
Exons: 3
Source: RefSeq, a predicted model, not a curated record